Molecule: long non-coding RNA, 225 nt
Filed under: Pan troglodytes (chimpanzee)
Lineage: Eukaryota; Metazoa; Chordata; Mammalia; Primates; Hominidae
Description: long non-coding RNA NONPTRT010460
Source: RNAcentral
UUAAAUGAAAGCAUACGGUUUGUAGUGUUCUGCAAGAUUCUAUAAGUAAGGUGCUUUUUUACUUCUUUCAAGAUUGUUUAUCUUUGAUUUUCUUAAGUUUGAAUAUUGUCGUGCAUUGCUAUAAAGAAAUACCCGAGACUGGGUAAUUUAUAAAGAAAAGAGGUUUAAUUGGCUUAUGGUUCUGCAGGCUUUACAGGAAGUAUGGUACUGGCAUCUGCUUGUCUU